This is a long non-coding RNA of Glycine soja, 1740 nucleotides long. RefSeq lists it as uncharacterized. Lineage: Eukaryota; Viridiplantae; Streptophyta; Magnoliopsida; Fabales; Fabaceae. The transcript has 3 exons. The record is from RefSeq and is a predicted model, not a curated record.
CCAUUUCAUCUAUAAAGGCAUCUUUAUCCACAGAAACCAUAAACAAUCUAGGAAAAGAUGGUUUAAGGCUAACAGAACCAAGCCAGAUACAAUGCCAGAACUUAACUUGAUCACCACACGUUACCUUCCUAAUAUUUUUAUCAAUGUUUUAUUUUUAUGACAAAACUUAGGUGCAGUUCCUUAGAUGUUUUAGGUGGUGUUCUCUAAUUAGAGUGUUAUCUUGUAAACUUUGCUAGUAAGGUCCACAUUUAAAGUCAACACUAGUUUCUGAGGUGACUUUAAUUAUGAAUGGAAAAACAAUACUAAAAAUACCUAAAGAACCACAUCAAAGUUUUGUCCUUUGUUUUAUAUUAUAAUUUUGCAAUGACUAUUUUUCCCUAGUGAACAGAAUUUCUGGCAGAAUAAAUUGUGCCAUUGUUUUGCAUUUGUAGAAUCUGGACUAUUAUAACCUUUUAUCUCCUCUUACUGUCUAAUGUUCUUACUGCUCUGCGAUAGAUUUGUUCAUUCUUUGUUCACUAUGUUUGUAGUGGAAUCCAUACGGCUUUCUAGUGUUGUUAAUUCAGAUAAAGUUUGCAUUGCUAUGCUCCUCUCCAAUAGUGUGAUAUUGAGAAGUCCUUAGUAUCAUUGAUUUUUGUAGUUUUUCUCUAAUAUGAACUCAUUUGGACAUAGGUCUAGAUGCUUCCCAUGUGUGCUUUGUUGCCUGAUUUUGUUGGUUGUAAGAUGUUGCAUCUAAAAUUCAUGUGCUUUCCUUUUUCUUGUCUUCCGAGCUGGAAAGAAGAUGAUGAUGAGGAUGGUCCAUCUCCCAGUCAAGGCCCCUCAUGGUUCAGAAAACAAUAUUCUCCUAAAGGCUCUGGAAGGCACAUUGUGUUUAUUAUUUUUAGUUUAUUACUUUUAGUGAAAAGAAGAUUAUGGUUAUAUAUGGUUUGUUCUGGAUUGGUAUAUUUCAAGGCUCUGUUGAUUAGAGUUUGUUUCUGUUUUGGUUUUAACUUGCAUCAUAAGUUUCUUGAAUAAGCAAUAUUGUGUGUGUUAAAUUGUAUUGCAAAUAAAAUUCUGGAUAUUAUAGAGCCUGUUUUGGAUUCAUAUGUUUUAAAAAAACUUGAUGUCUUUCAGGAAACCAUGAGUUUUGCAAAGAUGAUUUUGACGUUGAAACCGUUUUCUGGUCUGUCUUUGGUGGCAAUCGAUCUUACUAUUGGUCCUUUAUAAAUGAGGAAAAUCCUCAGUGGAGGUCAGGAGGCUUUUCUAAUCAUGAGAAAUCUUGGAAUUGGAGACGUCGGAGUGAAAAUGAAUAUAAUGGCACAUCAACCGAGCCAGAGUCGGAUUGUUCACAUUCAGAUUUAAUUUCAGAUAGAUUAGCCCUUGGACUGGGUGCUUCUGGCCCUCUGAAACUUGAAGAUGUGAAAAAUGUAUCGGAUAUGUGCCUUAAAGUGGCAUCCAGAUCGCCAUCAUGGCUCUUUUAAGGUUAUAGCAGAGGAAAAGUUGAAGCAUUGCAGUGCUGCUUAUCGACCGUUGUCUGAUAAGCUGGCCUUGGAUUAGGGAGUAAGAACUUGUGUUUUUUAUUCAUAGUGUAAGAACUUGUUAUAUUAAUAGUUUUUCUACAAGUUUCUGGCUCUAGGCAAUUAUAUGCCCAAGCUAAUUUAUUUUACACAAAGCUCGCUUUCAUUAUACUUUGGUCUGUUGCAAUUUUAUCAUAUGCUUGUGUAAAUUUUAUAUAUGGUGCUUCAUAUCACCAAUUUAGCACUA